GGGGGGACAUAUAGUGCCUCUGGCUUAGAUUGAUGCCGCGGAGCGAGAGGCGCGCCAGGUUCCUGCUCCGCAUCGGGAAGUGGAAUGUGAUUCUAUUCCGAGCGGAAGUGUUCCGCAGCUCGACGUGGAGUUCCUCGACGGCGCAGGCAGCGGUUGAAGCACUUGGUGCUCAUCACGCUUGUCUUCACGACGAGGGAGAAGCUCUGGAGACGGCGCCCUCGUCGCCGCUGCAGCAACUCGAGCAGCUGCUCCGAUGAUGGAU
Molecule: long non-coding RNA, 262 nt
Filed under: Brachypodium distachyon (stiff brome)
Lineage: Eukaryota; Viridiplantae; Streptophyta; Magnoliopsida; Poales; Poaceae
Description: long non-coding RNA (BDIS_LNC000804)
Source: RNAcentral